Molecule: ribosomal RNA, 253 nt
Filed under: uncultured bacterium
Lineage: Bacteria
Description: partial 16S ribosomal RNA
Rfam family: Bacterial small subunit ribosomal RNA
Source: RNAcentral
UACGUAGGGCGCAAGCGUUGUCCGGAAUUAUUGGGCGUAAAGAGCUCGUAGGUGGUUUGUCGCGUCUGUUGUGAAAGCCCGGGGCUUAACCCCGGGUCUGCAGUCGAUACGGGCAGGCUAGAGUUCGGUAGGGGAGAUCGGAAUUCCUGGUGUAGCGGUGAAAUGCGCAGAUAUCAGGAGGAACACCGGUGGCGAAGGCGGAUCUCUGGGCCGAUACUGACGCUGAGGAGCGAAAGCGUGGGGAGCGAACAGG